AACAACACCCUGGCGUGACAACAACCCAGGCGCGACGGAAGUACUCUGGCGUGACGGUAGUGAUUUAUUUUUUUAACUUUAUUUUACACACCGCUGAAUCGGAAACCAAAGAUGAACCAUGGAAGGACUUCCACCACAGCCAUAUGGGAACGACUGUGGGAUCUUCAUGAUUAUGUACGCUUGGUACCUUGCCAUGGAGGCACCAUUCGACCUCACUGUUAAAGACAUGCCUGUCCUCAGAAAAUGGUGGUGCACAGUACUGCUUGAGAACUUCCACCUGGAUCGGCACGGCAGAAGGUUCCCACACUUCAUGGAGGAGGCCAAACAGAUGGCGGCUUGACUACUUCCACCAGUCUUCAGACUGAAGUGAAAAAGAGAAGUGAAUGUCGACAAGCUGAACAAAUCCGUCAAACAGCUUUUUUAAAUUCCAAACUGUUUGGCCGUGACAGUCAAAAUAACGUGAUGGCGAAGCCGCCAAACAGGAAUAAAGCCCAUUUCUCAGCAGCUCUUAAAUAAAUCAAUGCAAACUUGCCAAGCAGGAAUAAGUCAAUUUCUCAGCAGCCGUUGGACAUAUCAUAACCAAACUUGGUUGAACCCCAUGAAAUCAUCAUGGGGUCACCCAAACAAUUUGGUGACAUUUAACCUCAGGGGGACGGCAAACAGGAAGUGAGGUCAAAUCUAUGCACAGUGUUCGUGUAUCUGAACCAAACUUGGCGCAUAUUCUUAUGACUCUGUCCUGAUGAUGCCCAAAUAAUUUGAUGACAUUUGACCACUACGGGGUCAUUAAAAACAUAGAGUGUGAUCAUAUCUCAGUCUAUCUUUACAUUUUUGAUGUGAAACUUGUUGAAAGUGCUGAAGGCCGUGUGUCUGAAGUAGAUCUAUCUUGUUGCUGUGGCUAUUCUGGUAAAUUGCAGACGGGUUGUGUUACCUUGCGACGACGUGCAUGACGCAACAAACGCAACAAACGAUCGUGAAAAUACGUACGGCAACCCUGAUCCGUAGGCGGAUGCAUUGUUAGCAGCAAGUCUAUUCCAUCCCUUAGAAUGCAACUUCAAUGUAUUUUCACUUUGAUAACCAUUUGCCAACAGCUUACAUUGUGGGUGAAAUUACUGAGACGGUCAUCAUCUAGCCACCUACCCAAUUAUGUCUGACCUCCAAAAUUAGUUUAUGGAGUCAUAUUCUGCUUGGCCCCCUCAUUGCUGCUCGCAGCUAUAUUUUAAUAUUGUGUUCUUAUUUCUGCGAUAUGGCUUAUAGUAGCCAUUAAUUAUUAUGUAUUGUGGCAACCCGUCUCUGGCACAGCGCCCCUGGAGGCCCAUGGGGCAGGUUGUGGAGGCGGUGUACCACAGAUUUCCAUCAGAUGGCGCCAGUGAGAGCAUUGGUGUCCAGCCAAUUAUUGAAAUGCAGAGCACCUGAAGAGGCGCGAACCAGGCUCUCCUGGUUCGCGUGUGCGGGGGGUGACGGGAUUCCACCCGGAGGAACGAGACUGUGGAUUCCUCAAAAGCUAGGUUUAAUGGUAAUGUACUUUCUGGUUGAUUAAAAGUGUCGUUUUGGCUUUACGUUAACUCCGGUUUGUGUGCUAUUUGUAACGGGGCGGUUCACUCCCCAAGCCGGGUUGCCACAGUAUGAACUCGUGAAUGAACAGUCAACAUGAAGAUCAUAACCUUUGUGUUGUUCUUGGAGAGUGAGAGCAGCAUUCGUGUUACGGUCGAAUGUAAACUAGUUCAAUGGAGGCCUUUGGUCUGUCAGGAUCAACACAUCAUCUGGGACAACGCAGCAGUGAAGAGCCACAGUACUUUUCCGUGUGCUGCCAAUAAGGUCUUAUCAAAGGCCGAGACCAUGUUACCAUCUUUACAUUCUUUGUAAAAGAAAAAUUACAACGUUUUAUACGUUUUACCGGAGAACACAGAGGAAGUCCCCUCCAGUUUAUUCCAACAUAUUUUUAUACGAUCAUUUCUACACCGCUGAGAUCAAUCUUUAUGGACUCAUAACGGUUUUAAGAGUUCUAUGUUUUUCAUUUUGAAGAGAAUAUUUAUUUGAAGGGAUUUUCAAAGUGAGAUACUAAUCCACUGUGUUGCAUUAGUAUCUCAGGGAAGGAAGAAGUCUGGCUAUAUAGAUGAGAUCGUGCUGAAACCAAACAGUAGCAUGCUUCAAUAAUAAGGCUUUAA
Long non-coding RNA from Gadus morhua (Atlantic cod), 2165 nucleotides. RefSeq lists it as uncharacterized. The transcript has 5 exons. Lineage: Eukaryota; Metazoa; Chordata; Actinopteri; Gadiformes; Gadidae. The record is from RefSeq and is a predicted model, not a curated record.